Molecule: ribosomal RNA, 305 nt
Filed under: uncultured bacterium
Lineage: Bacteria
Description: bacterial SSU rRNA
Rfam family: Bacterial small subunit ribosomal RNA
Source: RNAcentral
CCUACGGGGGGCAGCAGUGGGGAAUCUUCCGCAAUGGGCGCAAGCCUGACGGAGCAACGCCGCGUGAAUGAAGAAGGUCUUCGGAUCGUAAAGUUCUGUUCUUAGGGAAGAAGUCUUAGGUUGUGAAUAAUGACUUAAGGUGACGGUACCUAUGGAGAAAGCUCCGGCUAACUACGUGCCAGCAGCCGCGGUAAUACGUAGGGAGCGAGCGUUGUCCGGAAUUACUGGGCGUAAAGGGCGCGUAGGCGGGAACUUAAGUUAGAUGUGAAAACUCCGGGCUUAACCUGGAGACUGCAUUUAAAACU